UCCAGAGCCUCUUCGAAACUUCAUUGCUGGCCAUCUGCUGGGACGUCGCUAGAAAAAGAAAAAAAAAUAUAUAUAUAAAGAGAAGCUGUCUUCAAUGGGCUGAGGGUCUUGGAUACAACCUGGACAGCUUGUAUAAGCUUCAUCUACAUUGGCAAACCACAGAGGGAGACUGAAAAAUUACACAGUGAAUGAAAAGAGCCAAAACAGAAUAUAUUAUCAUGUUUAGCAGUAUGAAGACUUCUAAAAACAUAAGCUUCAAAAGAAGAGAGAAAAGUGAAUCUUCCUUCAUGGUGGAAGUGAGCCUUCAAUGAAAAAAGAAUAUUUGAGGUGUCCAUGGUUCAUAUGGCUUUCUGGCAGAAAGUAUACAAUGGAAGAAUGGGUAUUAAAAAAAAAGAAUGUCUUCAGAAUUAAAAAUACAAACUCUGGGCUAGUACUAUUUAUCAAUGUUAAAAAUUUUGGUGCAGUUUAGACCCAUGAUCACUUAAGUGUAGGGAAUUCUCAGUGUGAAAAUUAUCUCUAGCAAUGUGGAUCAAUACAAAUCCAAAAGUCAAUUACCCAGCCUUCCAUAAUUAGGAUGUAUGUCAGAGACAGAAUGUGUCCCAGUUAUGAGUUU
Gracilinanus agilis (Agile Gracile Mouse Opossum) is the source of this 613-nucleotide long non-coding RNA. RefSeq lists it as uncharacterized. The record is from RefSeq and is a predicted model, not a curated record. Lineage: Eukaryota; Metazoa; Chordata; Mammalia; Didelphimorphia; Didelphidae. The transcript is spliced from 4 exons.